AGCAGCCGCGGUAAUUCCAGCUCCAAUAGCGUAUAUUAAAGUUGUUGCAGUUAAAAAGCUCGUAGUUGAAUUUCGGGGUCAGUAGAUUGGUCGUGCCACUGGUAUGUACUGGUCUUACUGGCUCCUCCUUCCUGAUGAACCGUAAUGCCAUUAAUUUGGUGUUGCGGGGAGACUGGACUGUUACUUUGAAAAAUUAGAGUGUUUAAAGCAGGCUAACGCUUGAAUACAUUAGCAUGGAAUAAUGAAAUAGGACGUUCGAUCUUAUUUUGUUGGUUUCUAAGAUUGACGUAAUGAUUAAUAGGGAUAGUUGGGGGCAUUAGUAUUCAAUUGUCAGAGGUGAAAUUCUUGGAUUUAUUGAAGACUAACUACUGCGAAAGCAUUUGCCAAGGAUGUUUUCAUUAAUCAA
Molecule: small RNA, 406 nt
Filed under: uncultured Glomus
Lineage: Eukaryota; Fungi; Glomeromycota; Glomeromycetes; Glomerales; Glomeraceae
Description: SSU rRNA
Rfam family: Eukaryotic small subunit ribosomal RNA
Source: RNAcentral